AACUGCGAGUGAAGCGGGAAAAGCUCAAAUUUAAAAUCUGGCGGUCCUUGCGGCUGUCCGAGUUGUAAUCUAGAGAAGUGCUAUCCGCGCUGGACCGUGUACAAGUCUCCUGGAAUGGAGCGUCAUAGAGGGUGAGAAUCCCGUCUUUGACACGGACUGCCAGGGCUUAUGUGAUACGCUCUCGAAGAGUCGAGUUGUUUGGGAAUGCAGCUCAAAAUGGGUGGUAAAUUCCAUCUAAAGCUAAAUAUUGGCGAGAGACCGAUAGCGAACAAGUACCGUGAGGGAAAGAUGAAAAGAACUUUGGAAAGAGAGUUAAACAGUACGUGAAAUUGUUGAAAGGGAAACGCUUGAAGUCAGUCGCGUCGUCCGGGGAUCAACCUUGCAUUUCUUUUGCUGGGCGUACUUUCCGGUUGACGGGUCAGCAUCAAUUUUGACCGUUGGAUAAAGGCUUCGGGAAUGUGGCAUCCUCGGAUGUGUUAUAGCCCUUGGUCGCAUACAACG
Molecule: ribosomal RNA, 501 nt
Filed under: Cuphophyllus colemannianus
Lineage: Eukaryota; Fungi; Basidiomycota; Agaricomycetes; Agaricales; Hygrophoraceae
Description: eukaryotic LSU rRNA
Rfam family: Eukaryotic large subunit ribosomal RNA
Source: RNAcentral